CGUCAAAUCAGCACGGCCCUUAUGUUCGGGGCUACACACGUGCUACAAUGGCAUGUACAGAGGGCAGCCACUAUGUGAAUAGGCGCAAAUCCUCAAAGCAUGUCUCAGUUCGGAUUGGAGUCUGUAACUCGACUCUAUGAAGUUGGAUUCGCUAGUAAUCGCGCAUCAGCCAUGGCGCGGUGAAUACGUUCCCGGGCCUU
RNAcentral lists this ribosomal RNA (200 nucleotides) under uncultured prokaryote. RNAcentral's name for it is "partial 16S ribosomal RNA". It matches the Rfam family "Bacterial small subunit ribosomal RNA", at positions 1183 to 1382 of the family's 1533-position model. The record is from RNAcentral.